This is an RNA transcript of Cryptomeria japonica (Japanese cedar), 1898 nucleotides long. It is a transcript of the gene named probable 2' cyclic ADP-D-ribose synthase BdTIR, with no coding region annotated. The record is from RefSeq and is a predicted model, not a curated record. Lineage: Eukaryota; Viridiplantae; Streptophyta; Pinopsida; Cupressales; Cupressaceae. The transcript has 5 exons.
CCUUUUCCCGCGCGAAUAUUAUCCACUCAUUUCUCUGCUAUGCAUUCUUUCUUCUUUUUUAAUAUGCAAUUCAAGUCCAUCUGCUCUACACCAUUCCCAUCAGCUUCUUCUCUUUCAAUCAUUUCUGCGUUAAGCCAGCUUUGUCUGUUUUCUGUCUGCCUUAAAUUUACAGCAAAGCCUCAACCUUAGCUGUGAAGCAUUUUUCUUUGUUUUAGUUUAUAUCUCAUGGCAACAUCUUCUAGCAGUAGUGGCGCCUUUGAUGCAGUAAUGUUUCAAUUGUAUCUAGUGGCAUGCUCUUCUAGCAGUAUGCGUGCUUUCGAUGCAAUAAUGUUUCAAUUGUAUCGAAUGGCAUACUCUUAUCGUAGUAGUGGUGCUUUUGAUGCAGUAAUGUUUCAAUAUUAUCUAAUGGCAUCCUCUUCCAACACUGCUGGUAUUUUUUAUGCAAUAAAUGCCAUCUGCUCCUACUUUUGUUGCAUCCUCGUCUGGAACCAAACUCUUGCGCUAUGAUAUAUUCAUAAAUCAUUGUGGACAAGAUGUCAAACACACUCUCGCCAGCAAGAUCUACGAUUCCUUAGAUGCCACGGGAUUGAAAGUGUUUCUGGAUAAAGAUGAGUUGGAUCUUGCGGAUUACUUUCCCAAAGCCAUAGAAGAAGCAAUCAAAAGUUCUUCUCUUCAUAUCGCCAUAUUUUCUGAACAUUAUGCACAAUCCCCCUGGUGUUUGGCCGAAUUGUUUUGUAUGCUACAAACCCCCAGCAAAUUUAUGCCCAUUUUCUAUCAUGUUGAUCCUUCUGAUUUAAGAUGGGCGAUUGAAGGAAAAGGAAUUUAUAAAGGUGCCUUUUCUGAUUAUGUAGAGAAGAAAAGAUACCCUUCCGAACUGCAACGUUGGAAACAGGCACUCCAACAAGCUUCCCUUUUUACUGGCGACAUAAUUAAGAAAGAGAAUCAGGGCUGAACGUGUUGAAAGAGCAGGAUCUCUGAGCAAAUACUUAAACACAGGAUUGCACGCCGACUGAGAUGCAUCUAACAACAUUACUUAUCAUCAUGAGUUUGCAGUAGUAGAAAUGAGAAGAGAGGAAAACCCGGAAAUCGGUUUUCAAUGUGUGGCAACCGUACGUGCAGACCGGUGAUGAGUUUAGUGCCGUCUUUAUGCGGCUUUUCCGUCAGAAUCUUGAUGAUUCAAUAAACGAAUUAAUGAAAGCUGGAUUGAUGGUCUGCGUAAUUACUUUGUUUUGUUUAUUUGUACUAGCUCUAUACUUUCAAUUAGUAUAAAUGAUACUAUGGGAAUGCGCGUGUUAGAUUUUUUUGUUCUUCGUCAGGUUAUGCGUAAGGUAAUAAUUGAAGGAUCUUAGAUAGAUAAUUUUUUUUAAUUUUCUGUUAUAGCUUUUGUAGUUGUUUAAGUUUAUUCUAAAAUAGUGUCUGUGAAUUUGGAGGGCGAGGAAAAAUCUUGCCUCGAUCUUGAAUACGAAUGACUGCUGUUUCUGUAUAUGAUCGCACACAAAGGGGGGUCACCGUAAAUAUAAGACGAGAAACCGGGGGUAACAAUACAGACAAUCUAGUGUGGGCAGUAUAUUUAGAUGACAAGUUAGUGGGUCAUUGGCGUGCUGGGCUUUUCCAGGACUUUGACAUUUUUCGCCAAUUUAGUUCAAUUAGGAGGAGAAGUAGCUGUACUAUCUGGUAGUCAAGGAACUCCAUUCUCAAAGACGAACAUGGGUAGUGGAAACUUUGCAGAGGAAAGGAAUAAAAAAGCAGGUUAUAUUGGGAAUAUAGAAUUGUUUACUACUAAUGGUGUUCUUAUAUCAGACAUGCCUCGGAGUUAUAUCUCAGCUAAAAAGGAUUGUUAUAAUGUAAAAGGAUAUUUUAUAAAAGAUCACUCUUGGGGAUACUGUAUAUAUUAUGAA